AGCGAACGCUGGCGGCAGGCCUAACACAUGCAAGUCGAACGGCUCUUCGGAGCAGUGGCGGACGGGUGAGUAACGCGUGGGAACGUGCCCUUUGGUUCGGAACAACACAGGGAAACUUGUGCUAAUACCGGAUGAGCCCUUCGGGGGAAAGAUUUAUCGCCAUUGGAGCGGCCCGCGUUGGAUUAGGUAGUUGGUGGGGUAACGGCCCACCAAGCCGACGAUCCAUAGCUGGUCUGAGAGGAUGAUCAGCCACACUGGGACUGAGACACGGCCCAGACUCCUACGGGAGGCAGCAGUGGGGAAUCUUGCGCAAUGGGCGAAAGCCUGACGCAGCCAUGCCGCGUGUAUGAUGAAGGUCUUAGGAUUGUAAAAUACUUUCACCGGGGAAGAUAAUGACGGUACCCGGAGAAGAAGCCCCGGCUAACUUCGUGCCAGCAGCCGCGGUAAUACGAAGGGGGCUAGCGUUGCUCGGAAUUACUGGGCGUAAAGGGCGCGUAGGCGGACAGUUUAGUCAGAGGUGAAAGCCCAGGGCUCAACCUUGGAAUUGCCUUUGAUACUGGCUGUCUUGAGUUCGGGAGAGGUGAGUGGAAUGCCGAGUGUAGAGGUGAAAUUCGUAGAUAUUCGGCGGAACACCAGUGGCGAAGGCGACUCACUGGCCCGAUACUGACGCUGAGGCGCGAAAGCGUGGG
Molecule: ribosomal RNA, 689 nt
Filed under: uncultured Alphaproteobacteria bacterium
Lineage: Bacteria; Pseudomonadati; Pseudomonadota; Alphaproteobacteria
Description: bacterial SSU rRNA
Rfam family: Bacterial small subunit ribosomal RNA
Source: RNAcentral